GAUGAACGCUAGCGGCAGGCCUAAUACAUGCAAGUCGAACGAUAUUACCCAGCUUGCUGGGUAUGAAAGUGGCGCACGGGUGCGUAACGCGUAUGCAACCUACCUUGUUCAGGGGGAUAGCCCGAAGAAAUUCGGAUUAACACCGCAUAAAAUCACAGUUCAGCAUUGGACAAUGAUCAAAUAUUUAUAGGAAUAAGCUGGGCAUGGGUGUCAGUAGCUAGUUGGCGGGGUAACGGCUCACCAAGGCGACGAUGACUAGGGGGUCUGAGAGGAUGACACCCCAAGCAAGUACUGAGACACGAACCAGGCUCCUACGGGAGGCAGCAGUAAGAAAUAUUGGUCAAUGGAGGCAACUCUGAACCAGCCAUGGUGCGUGCAGGAAGACGGCCCUCUGGGUUGUAAACUGCUUUUAUUCGGGAAUAAACCUAUUUACGUGUAAAUAGCUGAAUGUACCGAAGGAAUAAGGAUCGGCUAACUCCGUGCCAGCCGCCGCAGUAA
This 498-nucleotide ribosomal RNA is filed under the name uncultured bacterium. RNAcentral describes it as "partial 16S ribosomal RNA". It matches the Rfam family "Bacterial small subunit ribosomal RNA", at positions 28 to 523 of the family's 1533-position model. The record is from RNAcentral.